Molecule: non-coding RNA, 29 nt
Filed under: Homo sapiens (human)
Lineage: Eukaryota; Metazoa; Chordata; Mammalia; Primates; Hominidae
Source: RNAcentral
UGGAAGGUGCUUGCCGGAGAACACGUGCC